CUACGGGGGGCAGCAGUGGGGAAUAUUGGACAAUGGGGGAAACCCUGAUCCAGCAAUGCCGCGUGUGUGAAGAAGGCCUUAGGGUUGUAAAGCACUUUCAGUAGUGAGGAAAAGUUUAAGGCUAAUACCCUUGAACCCUGACGUUAACUACAGAAGAAGCACCGGCUAACUUCGUGCCAGCAGCCGCGGUAAUACGAAGGGUGCAAGCGUUAAUCGGAUUUACUGGGCGUAAAGCGCGCGUAGGCGGUUUGAUAAGUCGGAUGUGAAAGCCCCGGGUUCAACCUGGGAAUUGCAUUCGAUACUGUCAGGCUAGAGUAUGGUAGAGGGAAGUGGAAUUCCACAUGUAGCGGUGAAAUGCGUAGAUAUGUGGAGGAACACCAGUGGCGAAGGCGACUUCCUGGCCCAAUACUGACGCUGAGGUGCGAAAGCGUGGGGAGCAAACAGGAUUAGAUACCCGUGUAGUC
RNAcentral lists this ribosomal RNA (464 nucleotides) under uncultured bacterium. RNAcentral describes it as "partial 16S ribosomal RNA". It matches the Rfam family "Bacterial small subunit ribosomal RNA", at positions 339 to 795 of the family's 1533-position model. The record is from RNAcentral.